ACCUGGCUAGCUCAAUUGGUCAGAGCGUCUGACUUUUAGUAAUCUGAAAGAGUAAUCAGAAGGUUGGGAGUUCGAGCCUCCCGUCGGGUG
Non-coding RNA from Aspergillus tanneri, 90 nucleotides. The record is from the annotation of a RefSeq genome assembly. Lineage: Eukaryota; Fungi; Ascomycota; Eurotiomycetes; Eurotiales; Aspergillaceae.